This 67-nucleotide transfer RNA is filed under the name Charonia tritonis (giant triton snail). RNAcentral describes it as "tRNA-Asn". Lineage: Eukaryota; Metazoa; Mollusca; Gastropoda; Littorinimorpha; Ranellidae. The record is from RNAcentral.
UAAAUGAAAGCCAAAAUAGAGGCGCCUAGCUGUUAAUUAGGAGAAUGUAAAUAUCUUACUCAUUUAG